CUACGGGUUGCACCAGUAGGGAAUAUUGCACAAUGGACGAAAGUCUGAUGCAGCAACGCCGCGUGUGCGAUGAAGGCCUUCGGGUUGUAAAGCACUUUUCUGAGGGAAGAGGAAGGACGGUACCUCAGGAAUAAGUCUCGGCUAACUACGUGCCAGCAGCCGCGGUAACACGUAGGAGGCAAGCGUUAUCCGGAUUUACUGGGCGUAAAGCGCGUGCAGGCGGUUCGGUAAGUUGGAUGUGAAAGCUCCUGGCUCAACUGGGAGAUGCCGUUCAAUACUGCCGGACUCGAGGACGGUAGAGGGAGGUGGAAUUCCCGGUGUAGUGGUGAAAUGCGUAGAUAUCGGGAGGAACACCAGUGGCGAAAGCGGCCUCCUAGGCCGUUCCUGACGCUAAGACGCGAAAGCAUGGGUAGCGAACGGGAUUAGAUACCCCUGUAGUC
This 440-nucleotide ribosomal RNA is filed under the name uncultured bacterium. RNAcentral describes it as "partial 16S ribosomal RNA". It matches the Rfam family "Bacterial small subunit ribosomal RNA", at positions 339 to 795 of the family's 1533-position model. The record is from RNAcentral.